Molecule: small RNA, 761 nt
Filed under: Pan troglodytes (chimpanzee)
Lineage: Eukaryota; Metazoa; Chordata; Mammalia; Primates; Hominidae
Description: retained intron
Source: RNAcentral
UUCUGUGCCUGUUUCUUUCUCCCUGCCCUGGUUUCUGUCUCUGUGGCCCAGGCCCUCUCCUCAUCCUUGGCCCCUCACCAGGUGACAGUGGGAACUGGAUCGAGAUCGCCUAUGGCACCAGCUCAGGGGGCGUGCGGGUCAUCGUGCAGCACCCGGAGACUGUGGGCUCGGGGCCUCAGCUCUUCCAGACCUUCACUGUGCACCGCAGCCCCGUCACCAAGAUCAUGCUGUCGGAGAAGCACCUCAUCUCAGUCUGUGCCGACAACAACCACGUGCGGACAUGGUCUGUGACUCGCUUCCGCGGCAUGAUUUCCACCCAGCCCGGCUCCACCCCACUCGCUUCCUUUAAGAUCCUGGCUCUGGAGUCGGCAGAUGGGCAUGGCGGCUGCAGUGCUGGCAAUGACAUUGGCCCCUACGGUGAGCGGGACGACCAGCAAGUGUUCAUCCAGAAGGUGGUGCCCAGCGCCAGCCAGCUCUUUGUGCGUCUCUCAUCUACUGGGCAGCGGGUGUGCUCCGUGCGCUCCGUGGACGGCUCACCCACGACGGCCUUCACAGUGCUGGAGUGCGAGGGCUCCCGGCGGCUCGGCUCUCGGCCCCGGCGCUACCUGCUCACCGGCCAGGCCAACGGCAGCUUGGCCAUGUGGGACCUAACCACCGCCAUGGACGGCCUCGGCCAGGCCCCUGCAGGUGGCCUGACGGAGCAAGAGCUGAUGGAACAGCUGGAACACUGCGAGCUGGCCCCGCCAGCUCCCUCAGCUCCC